This 258-nucleotide unclassified non-coding RNA is filed under the name Sarcosomataceae sp. Its description in RNAcentral is "partial contains 5.8S ribosomal RNA, internal transcribed spacer 2, and large subunit ribosomal RNA". The record is from RNAcentral. Lineage: Eukaryota; Fungi; Ascomycota; Pezizomycetes; Pezizales; Sarcosomataceae.
CGCACAUUGCGCCUUCUGGUAUUCCGGGAGGCAUGCCUGUUCGAGCGUCAUCAAACACAUCCUCAAGCACGUUUGCUUGGUACUGGAGGAAGAUGUCUGCAUCUCCUCUCAAAUCCCUCAGCGGAAACUACUGCAGUCUCAGGUGUCAUAAGAUUACCUUUCGCUUGAUAACUGCUGCUAGGUUCUUGCUGUGAAGAGCCCCCCAGCUAUUCUUUUAAGUUUGACCUCGAAUCAGGUAGGGAUACCCGCUGAACUUAA